AGUGAGCGCUGGCGGUAGGCCUAACACAUGCAAGUCGAACGGCAGCACAGUAAGAGCUUGCUCUUACGGGUGGCGAGUGGCGGACGGGUGAGGAAUACAUCGGAAUCUACUUUUUCGUGGGUGAUAACGUAGGGAAACUUACGCUAAUACCGCAUACGACCUACGGGUGAAAGCAGGGGAUCUUCGGACCUUGCGCGAUUGAAUGAGCCGAUGUCGGAUUAGCUAGUUGGCGGGGUAAAGGCCCACCAAGGCGACGAUCCGUAGCUGGUCUGAGAGGAUGAUCAGCCACACUGGAACUGAGACACGGUCCAGACUCCUACGGGAGGCAGCAGUGGGGAAUAUUGGACAAUGGGCGCAAGCCUGAUCCAGCCAUACCGCGUGGGUGAAGAAGGCCUUCGGGUUGUAAAGCCCUUUUGUUGGGAAAGAAAAGCAGCAGGUUAAUACCCCGCUGUUCUGACGGUACCCAAAGAAUAAGCACCGGCUAACUUCGUG
This 492-nucleotide ribosomal RNA is filed under the name uncultured bacterium. RNAcentral's name for it is "partial 16S ribosomal RNA". It matches the Rfam family "Bacterial small subunit ribosomal RNA", at positions 29 to 507 of the family's 1533-position model. The record is from RNAcentral.